AGCAGCCGCGGUAAUUCCAGCUCCAAUAGCGUAUAUUAAAGUUGUUGCAGUUAAAAAGCUCGUAGUUGAAUUUCGAGAUCAAUUUGUUGGUCGUGCCUCGGUACGUACUGGCAAUUUUGGUUUCUCCCUUCUGAAGAACCAUGAUGUCAUUAAUUUGGUGUCAUGGGGAAUCAGGACUGUUACUUUGAAAAAUUAGAGUGUUUAAAGCAGGCUCGCGCUUGAAUACAUUAGCAUGGAAUAAUGAAAUAGGACGUUUGAUUCUAUUUUGUUGGUUUCUAGGAUCGACGUAAUGAUUAAUAGGGAUAGUUGGGGGCAUUAGUAUUCAAUUGUCAGAGGUGAAAUUCUUGGAUUUAUUGAAGACUAACUACUGCGAAAGCAUUUGCCAAGGAUGUUUUCAUUAAUCAAGAACGAAAGUUAGGGGAUCGAAGACGAUCAGAUACCGUCGUAGUC
RNAcentral lists this ribosomal RNA (450 nucleotides) under uncultured Glomeromycotina. Its description in RNAcentral is "SSU rRNA". It matches the Rfam family "Eukaryotic small subunit ribosomal RNA", at positions 569 to 1025 of the family's 1831-position model. The record is from RNAcentral. Lineage: Eukaryota; Fungi; Glomeromycota.